RNA transcript from Daucus carota subsp. sativus, 1320 nucleotides. It is a transcript of the gene named photosystem II reaction center W protein, chloroplastic, with no coding region annotated. The record is from RefSeq and is a predicted model, not a curated record. The transcript is spliced from 6 exons. NCBI's taxonomy places the organism in Eukaryota, Viridiplantae, Streptophyta, Magnoliopsida, Apiales, Apiaceae.
ACUUAUAAAACUUAAUCCCCCAAGUUUGGCAUUCUUCCAACUUAAAAGAGAAUGAGGGAUAACAAAACCAGCGGUCCCCGUGCAAAAUCGGAGGGAGGAAAACACCACAAAAUCCCCGCUGAUCAACUAACCUAGAUUCUCGCUCCCAGUAUGGUAUAGCUAGUGUUGCUCUUCCUACAGCUAUCUGAGGACAAUCUUGAUUAUAUAUCCAAUGUUAUAUGAGCAUUACUUUCGUGGUCGUAAAAGCCUCCAUAUCUAAAUGGUCGCAGAAAAAUUUGUCCCCGCUUGGUCAGGACUCUGACUUUGUCUCUGGUGACAUAUACUUCUUCUAGUCAUCUAUAUUAUGUUAGUGCAGUUGCCGUCAAAGUUAGCUUGAAGGUACCCUGAUGGGUUAAGGUCAAGAAUUAAGAAUACAAGUAGAGGAUGCUUUUGAGCCUAAAGAAUAACUAUGGGCAACAUAAGAAAACCAUAACAGACAGAAAAUAAAGAAAAGAAGCAGCAUGUUCAUCUUGAAAGUUUGUUCAGAAAUAGCAGAGCGGUCAAGUUCCAUUUUCUGGCAAGUUGAUAUGGGGGGCCUGUACAGCUGCAAUUUAAUUGCCUGUUUCAUCAUUGCUUUGCACCGGAAGGGAAUUGAACCCAUGUCCGUUUCGGUUGAUGUCAAAGCACUGCCCCCUUUACUCAUAUUUUAGUCUCAAUAAGCAGCCGCACUUUGUAAAAAGAAUUUAAAAGCAGACCAUCUGUUGAAGGACGAAUUUUGGCUGGACUAUACAUCAGGAAAAUACUAAAUUGGGGAUCUUAAUUCUAAUGUCACUGUAUAGGUGAACAGAACACAAAAUCCAGAGACCUCUUACCAGUAGCCCUCUGACCUUGUUGGCCAUAUGAGUCGUAGAGGAUCGUUCUCAGCCAAAUUCUGGUUUUUCUUCUCUUUUUUUCCUUUCCUUUUCAGAGGGGGUCGGCAUGCUGUUUUCUGACGGAUUAUAUUCUUUUUAUCACAUUCCCUUUUGCAUUCAUGUCUGUGUUCUCAGCCAGAUUCUUGUUGAUCUCGUUCCCCCUUUGCAUGAUCAUCAUGUUAGCACAACUCGGACUGUGCUUUUUACAGCUGGUCAUCUCUAGAUGGAUUUAGUGAUGUCCCUCUAGUUCAUUUUCCACCUAAGAAAUGUCUAUGCCCGCACUUCUUGCUAAACAGUCUUGAGAAUGUCUUACAUAUUUAGACGUUGAAACUGAGACAGGUGAACCGGAGAAAAGCAUAGUCCACAAGUACUAUGACUAUGUGAAGGAUUACCCUCAAAGCUGGUACUAGUCCACAAGUACAAUAAAAAG